Molecule: ribosomal RNA, 446 nt
Filed under: uncultured bacterium
Lineage: Bacteria
Description: partial 16S ribosomal RNA
Rfam family: Bacterial small subunit ribosomal RNA
Source: RNAcentral
CCUACGGUGGGCAGCAGUCGAGAAUCAUUCACAAUGGGGGAAACCCUGAUGGUGCGACGCCGCGUGGGGGAAUGAAGGUCUUCGGAUUGUAAACCCCUGUCAUGUGGGAGCAAAUUAAAAAGAUAGUACCACAAGAGGAAGAGACGGCUAACUCUGUGCCAGCAGCCGCGGUAAUACAGCGGUCUCAAGCGUUGUUCGGAAUCACUGGGCGUAAAGCGUGCGUAGGCUGUGUCCUAAGUCGUGUGUGAAAGGCGCGGGCUCAACCCGCGAACGGCACAUGAUACUGGGAGACUAGAGUAAGGGAGGGGGAACCGGAAUUCGCGGUGUAGCAGUGAAAUGCGUAGAUAUCGAGAGGAACACUCGUGGCGAAGGCGGGUUCCUGGACAUUAACUGACGCUGAGGCACGAAGGCCAGGGGAGCGAAAGGGAUUAGAUACCCCGGUAGUC